This 748-nucleotide ribosomal RNA is filed under the name Paenibacillus sp. Its description in RNAcentral is "bacterial SSU rRNA". It matches the Rfam family "Bacterial small subunit ribosomal RNA", at positions 61 to 789 of the family's 1533-position model. Lineage: Bacteria; Bacillati; Bacillota; Bacilli; Caryophanales; Paenibacillaceae. The record is from RNAcentral.
GUCGAGCGGACUUGAUGGAGUGCUUGCACUCCUGAUGGUUAGCGGCGGACGGGUGAGUAACACGUAGGUAACCUGCCCAUAAGACUGGGAUAACCCACGGAAACGUGAGCUAAUACCAAAUAGGCUUUUUCCUCGCAUGAGGGAAAUGAAAAAGGCGGAGCAAUCUGCCACUUAUGGAUGGACCUGCGGCGCAUUAGCUAGUUGGUAAGGUAACGGCUUACCAAGGCGACGAUGCGUAGCCGACCUGAGAGGGUGAUCGGCCACACUGGGACUGAAACACGGCCCAAACUCCUACGGGAGGCAGCAGUAGGGAAUCUUCCGCAAUGGACGAAAGUCUGACGGAGCAACGCCGCGUGAGUGAUGAAGGUUUUCGGAUCGUAAAGCUCUGUUGCCAGGGAAAAACGCCUAGGAGAGUAACUGCUCUUAGGGUGACGGUACCUGAAAAAAAAGCCCCGGCUAACUACGUGCCAGCAGCCGCGGUAAUACGUAGGGGGCGAGCGUUGUCCGGAAUUAUUGGGCGUAAAGCGCGCGCAGGCGGCAAUGUAAGUUGGGUGUUUAAACCUAGGGCUCAACCUUGGGUCGCAUCCAAAACUGCAUAGCUGGAGUACAGAAGAGGAAAGUGGAAUUCCACGUGUAGCGGUGAAAUGCGUAGAGAUGUGGAGGAACACCAGUGGCGAAGGCGACUUUCUGGGCUGUAACUGACGCUGAGGCGCGAAAGCGUGGGGAGCAAACAGGAUUAGAUACCCUG